GGACGAACGCUGGCGGCGUGCCUAACACAUGCAAGUCGAGCGAUGAAGCCCUUCGGGGUGGAUUAGCGGCGGACGGGUGAGUAACACGUGGGUAACCUACCUUAUAGAGGGGGAUAGCCUUCCGAAAGGAAGAUUAAUACCGCAUGAAAUGUUUUUAUCGCAUGGUAGAAACAUCAAAGGAGUAAUCCGCUAUAAGAUGGACCCGCGGCGCAUUAGCUAGUUGGUGAGGUAACGGCCCACCAAGGCGACGAUGCGUAGCCGACCUGAGAGGGUGAUCGGCCACAUUGGAACUGAGACACGGUCCAGACUCCUACGGGAGGCAGCAGUGGGGAAUAUUGCGCAAUGGGGGAAACCCUGACGCAGCAACGCCGCGUGAAUGAAGAAGGCCUUAGGGUUGUAAAGUUCUGUUUUCUGGGACGAUAAUGACGGUACCAGAGGAGGAAGCCACGGCUAACUACG
This 459-nucleotide ribosomal RNA is filed under the name uncultured Clostridium sp. RNAcentral's name for it is "bacterial SSU rRNA". It matches the Rfam family "Bacterial small subunit ribosomal RNA", at positions 27 to 505 of the family's 1533-position model. Lineage: Bacteria; Bacillati; Bacillota; Clostridia; Eubacteriales; Clostridiaceae. The record is from RNAcentral.